RNAcentral lists this transfer RNA (63 nucleotides) under Elateroidea sp. 8 KM-2017. RNAcentral's name for it is "tRNA-Trp". The record is from RNAcentral. Lineage: Eukaryota; Metazoa; Arthropoda; Insecta; Coleoptera.
AAGGAUUUAAGUUAACUAAACUAGUAACCUUCAAAGUUAAAAAUAAUUAUUCAUUAAGCCUUA